GGUAAGCAUGUCACUGUCAAAGUUUACAGUCAAGAGAAGACUUCAUGAGAGCAAAUACAGAGGAUUCACCACAAGAUGCAAACAAGGCCAGAUUAGACUUUGCCAAAAAA
Sinocyclocheilus rhinocerous is the source of this 110-nucleotide long non-coding RNA. RefSeq lists it as uncharacterized. The transcript is spliced from 2 exons. The record is from RefSeq and is a predicted model, not a curated record. NCBI's taxonomy places the organism in Eukaryota, Metazoa, Chordata, Actinopteri, Cypriniformes, Cyprinidae.